RNAcentral lists this long non-coding RNA (1498 nucleotides) under Phasianus colchicus (ring-necked pheasant). Its description in RNAcentral is "lncRNA (ENSPCLG00000021174.1)". The record is from RNAcentral. Lineage: Eukaryota; Metazoa; Chordata; Aves; Galliformes; Phasianidae.
AAGCUUUCCAAGUUCCCCUUUUAUUUUUUUCUCCCUCUGUUAUUUAUAAAGCCUCAAACCUCUAAUUAGUAUUUUGCUUUGAAAACCCUCACAAUUCUGGGGUAAAAUCAACCUCCUUCACACUUUUAGGAGGGCUGAUGUUCAGCUGGGAAUGGGUAAAAGAACUUUGAAAAGAAAUAAAACCCCAAACCAGUAGCAGCUCCGUCAAGCAGAUUACAGCAAAAAAAAUAAAAAAUAAAACUCUAUUGUGAGGCUGGUCCAACGUUAGGAUGCUGGGAUGCUGGUACUUAAAGUACCCAAGAAAUUGCUAUAUUGAAAAAAAAAGAAAAAAAAAAAAUUGUGAAUAAAGGAGAAGAGUUUGGCCCACUGCACAGGUCUGGGCACAAAAGUGCUUGCUAAGCUAUCUAUUUCACACAUGCAACGACAGAAGGUUCGAUAUUCAUUCGAUCGAUGACUGAAAAGGCACAAUGGCAAAAUCGGACGGACUUCUUUUCAAAUACAGAUCUCCGAUGUCCCCCUACAGUCUGCAGUCGCGCGGCUGGUGGUGUGGCACAGACGGAGCAAGGGUUACAUCAAGGCUGUUCUCUGGACCGUGCAAACAGUCUAGACCAAUGACCUGCAGCAUCAUGCCCUUUGAAGAAGAGGCAAGUUCGGUCACGACGAAGAAAAAUCAAGGCGUACCCCUUUUAACAAUAGGGAGCAGCUCGUGGCUGCAAAGAGGUGUCCAUCUGCAGUUCAGUUUUGCAGCGGAAUCAUUUGUAUCACUUCACUAACUGAGCAAGAGAAGCAAAUUUUGGGAGCAUGAUCGUUGUGAUACCCUCAGUGGUAAGUACCCAAACUGCAAUCAAGUUUAUUCCAUUUUUGUAGUGUAGAGGCCUUUUAGAGACCACACUUGCUGCAGCUUAGUCACACAACGGCUUCAAAUGUCGUUCUGGAAUAAUAGGGUAGUAAUAUGAUAUACUCUAUAAUGAAAAUCAGUGUAAAGCACAGGUGGUUGCUAAUAUUUGUGUGGUCAGAUAUAAAAGCUUCACUAUGGGCACAAGCUACUGCAUUCCCACUUGAGGAAAGUAUAAUUAAAAGUGGUUUCCAGAUGUGCUGACCCAUGUCUGCCAUUUCUAAAAGUGAAUUUAGCAAAUGCAAACUGGUCUACAUUGCAUUCAUCAUUAUGAAAAGUUGAUGGGUUUUCAGAUGAUAAAAAGGUUGGGAGCAUCAAUACCCUUGCUUUAAAACUGAGGUGUCUUUAAACAACAGAUGGUAGCAUUUUAUGUUCAUACUGUGUUCAUAGGGAUUUAUGUGAGUAGUUCAUAGCUAAUCUGUGGCAAACAUGCAAAAUCUAUCUAGACAAAAAAUAACAUUUAUUUCAUACAGAUGAGAGGUGGUUCAUUGCUGGCAAAUUGAUUUGCAACCAGAAAGUUACAGUAAGAUGGUACUGCCGUUGUUUUGUUUCUCGGUAAUGCAGUGAAAUAAAUAGCACCCUAAUGCAUUACGUUUUAGCUCC